This 74-nucleotide transfer RNA is filed under the name Nanobdellota archaeon. RNAcentral's name for it is "tRNA-Arg". It matches the Rfam family "tRNA". Rfam says of the family: Transfer RNA (tRNA) molecules are approximately 80 nucleotides in length. Their secondary structure includes four short double-helical elements and three loops (D, anti-codon, and T loops). The record is from RNAcentral. RNAcentral also lists the same sequence under 1 other name. Lineage: Archaea; Nanobdellati; Nanobdellota.
GCCUCCGUCGUCUAGCCUGGAUAGGACGCGAGCUUGCGGAGCUUGAAACCGGGGUUCAAAUCCUCGCGGGGGCA